GAGUUUCUUCAUUUGCCUGGGAAGAGGUUCUACGAUUUCUCUGAUAUUCGUAGGGAAAUUCAGGUAAUUCUUCAUCGUUUCACUCAAUGCUUUUCUUUUUCGUGCUAGAUUUUGCUCAAUUAAUAAAUAGUUUGUAGCUUUAAAUAGAACUGUAAAAUCUAAUUAGUGCUGCUUAAUUUAUUAUUUUCCCUCUAGUUUAGGAUUCUGGACACUGAUCAUUAUUUGAGAAAAUGACAUAUUGAAUGUAAUCACAUUUGUCGGUGUCGAACAGUGACACAUGUCUACCUUCGGAGUGUUGGUGUUAAAGGAGAUUUUAAUCAACUAGUAUUUGUUUCAUUGCUAUUUUUUUAACUUUGAAAGAGAAAUUAAGAGAAUCAAAGGCAAAGUAUUUGAAAUUAGUCAGAUUACAAAAGCGAUAAUGUAGAUACAUUUAAAUUCUAAAAUUAUAUAGUUAUGAGAACUUGGAUGGGACUAAUUUAAGAGAUAGUUAUCACUGGGAGUGCAUGUUUUUUUUUAACACGUGAAUUCUUGUUUUAGAAAGAAUAUGUGACACGUUGAGUCGGAAAGUAGAUUAUGAUACGUCCUCACUCAUUGUGUUAGAAUUGUUGUGAAAUUCCUAUCUGUUGCUUUUAGAAGCUACAUGUGAAAAAUUUAUGAACCUAUCUACAGUUUAGCCAUUGCUGUUGUGUCGAUCUCAUAUUUUCCAUAUUUGGGACAAUUUAUUAUGUUUCCGCCCUUAGAUCUGUUCAGCGGUAAGAAUAGGAAAAAAGCAUGAGGUGAUUCGGUUCAUGAGCAGACUUGUAGAUUAUAAAUGAAUUGGAAUAUUUGAAUUCUUAGGAAUUCUAGCCCUCGUUUGAACUUUUAAGUAAUUCCUUACCUCAAAUAGUAUUUCCUUCCUAGAGAUCUAGAGUUUUCUUACUUAUAUUGAUGGAUGAGUUGGUGGUGAUCAUUUAGUUCAUAAAUCAUAACCUUGGAGAAGUGUAAUUGUCCAGAUUAUUUAGUCAGUCAAAGUUAAGUGCAUCCAUGCUAAGAGGAUAGUUUGCGAUCAUCUAGCUUACAACCUUGCCUACCUGCUUGUUUGAUAUAGGUUUGUGAUAGCAAGCUCAUAGUUAAGAGGGUUUACUCACACUAGGUAAGUAAAGUCUAAAGAGGUCAGAAGGUGACCAACAAUGCCCCAAAUAACUGAAUCCUGUAGAAAAGAGAAUUAUUCGAUCAACAGUUGGCAGUUAGUUAUGCUGAAGCUAUAUAGGUAGUAGUUGGCAGGAGAGAAGAGGGUAGUUUUGAAGCCUUGACAACUAAGGAGAGGUUAGGGUUCUCAAAUAAACCAAGUGUCAUUGUAUUCUUCUGAUCUUCUCCAAUCCAAUCAUUGAUGGAAUGGGUCCAUACUGAAUAAAAUAAUUCAUCCAUUUUGUUUUGCGAUAAUAACCAGUCUUAGAAUUUUGCUUUAGGCUGAAUUCCUCUCCAAAAUUUUGCUCAAAAGGUGAGGAUUGAUGAGAUCUUAACUCACCCUUUAUCAGUUAGUAUUCCUUAAUCUCUCUUAUGAGCCAAAUUUUAGCAACCGAUAUCAAAGCUCCAAUACUUUGAGCAUUGCACGGUGGCCAUAAGAAUGGAGGCCAUGGGGAGGAGGCUGCAAGAGUUGUGACCACCAUGAGAAGAGCAAGUGGGAGAAUGUUUGUUGAUGCAAUCACAAAUUUGUAGAGAUGAUGCAUACAUGAGAGUGAGCAAGAUAGAUUGGCAUUUUCAGUUGAGGGGUGCUAAAAGGAAGGAGAGUAUCAACUACCUUGGUAGCCAUGGAAGGAUGCCAUUUGUCUUGGUUUAAAUGUUGGAUUGUUGCAAUCUGAACAAAACUUGGGUGACAUUACCCAGUAGAACUACUGCAGCCGUUGCCCAAAUUAUAAGACUCUCUUCCAAGCCAGCCUUUACAGUUUGCUGUGUAUUUUAAUAGGCUGUUGGACUCUAAUGUUCCUAUUCCAACUUGUCUCCGUCUGAGUAGAAUGAAGAAACUUUGACGUCAGUUUUGUCACUUAUGAAGGGUGACCCUAACCUUUCAACCACGAUAAUAAUUUUCUCUGUCUAGAGAAGAAAGCGACUUAUUUUUCCCAUUCAUCCAUGAGGCAGUCAUACACACAUAAAUUCUAUCACAACCAAACCAAGAUUAACCCAGGUGCAAUCCAGUAGUGAUCCUCAAAGAUCAUUUACAUAUAUUUGAAGUUCAUUAUAUGCAUACAUGACAUAUAUUUGAAGUUCAUUAUAUGCAUACAUGACAUAUAUUUGAAGUUCAUUAUAUGCAUACAUGACAUUCAAUGGUCCAACAUAGAGUGGAACAAAUUGAUAUUGUAGAGACUCCAUCCUAUGACCUAAGUGGAUGGGAGUACAAUUGAAUACAGAUAGUUGAAUGAGUUUUGUGGUAUACUCUUUUCUCAUUUGUCACUGCCGCUUUCAAUGUUGCAUGAGCAUUACUACAAUAGUCACAUGUAUUACGGCCUUGGUUGAAGAUUCAUAAUCUGUUUGAAAUCAUUUUCAUUUUUUUUAAUCUCGGGAAGUAGUUGAACUUCAGAUUUCCAUAUUUGCAUUUGUAUAUCAUGUGAUGAUUAUAUUAUACUCUUGAUAAUGAUGUUCUGACAAGUUAUGGCACGUACUAGCUUAAACCUCUAUAUCUCAAUGUUGACCUGUAUAUCAUUAUUAUCUUUCUAUAGGCUGAAACUGAUAGGGAAGCAGGUGACAACAAGGGUGUCUCAGACAGGCAGAUUCGUUUGAAGAUUGUUUCACCAAAUGUUCUGGACAUGACACUUGUAGACCUCCCAGGCAUUACGAAGGUUCCUGUUGGUGACCAGCCUUCUGAUAUUGAAGCCCGGAUCAGAACAAUGAUCAUGUCAUAUAUUAAAGAGCCCUCCUGUCUUAUUCUAGCUGUCACACCAGCAAAUUCAGAUUUGGCUAAUUCAGAUGCUCUUCAAAUGGCAGGAGUGGCUGAUCCUGAGGGUAUGCUUUUGCUUCCAUACAUACCAAAAGCUUUGAAUAUUUUUUUGCAUCUCUUUAAUUGGUUAUAAUUGGUCAUAUGAUGCAGGUAAUAGAACGAUCGGUGUAAUCACAAAGGUUCAGUAUACUCUUCUACCAUUAUAAUUUAUGUUUAUCUUUGUGGAUUUUGUUAUAUGCUGUUGGUCGUUCUGACAGUGUUAGGCACAUUUUUUGCUAUGUAGUUGGAUAUCAUGGACAGAGGUACAGAUGCCCGUAAUCUGUUACAGGGAAAAGUUAUUCCCCUCCGACUUGGCUAUGUUGGUGUUGUAAACCGUAGUCAGGAGGUAAUGAUAUUAUCCUACUGUGAUGAAGGUGUUGUUUGACUAAUUUACCUAUUGCAUAUAUUCUAUUAGAUUUAGUUAGAUUUUGUCUCUACAAGCAAUAUGGAAGGACACUUUGCAAAUAAAGACGCAUAUGCUAAUUGCUUGAAUAGUGUUCAUGCCAAUGUGUUAUACUGAAAUAUGGGUUCUCUUGUUUUAUAAAACUAGGAUAUUCAAAUGAACCGGAGUAUAAAGGACGCUCUUGUCGCCGAAGAGAAAUUUUUUCGCAGUCGUCCUGUAAGGAAAUUCCUAUGCAUAGUUGUAUUCAAGCCUUUUGGCUUGUAUAUUCUCUAUACAGAUGUUUAUCUGUUUGUUAUUCACAGGUAUACAGCGGUCUAGCAGAUAGUUGUGGUAUACCUCAGCUAGCAAAAAAGUUAAACCAGGUACCAUUUGUCAUUUAAAACACAUUUUUUUAAACAUAUUUUACUGUUCAAAAUGCUGGAAUUAAUUAGGAUUUUCAGCAUUCCCUUAACCAUACAGAGCAAAACAUCCCCCUCUCUUCCCAUUUUUAAAUAUAUUUUACUGUUUAAAAUGCCGGAAUUAAUAUCUAGGUUUUUUUAACUUCAUACAAAGGUAUUCAAAAGCUUCUUCCUUAGUAUGAUUUAGUUAUCGCCCUUAGUAUAUGGCUAAGUUAUAACUGUCUCAGCAAAAUGCCAUAUCAACAUCGGAGAGGGAAAAUUGUUAAAAUGAUUCUUGGAAAAACACAGUAAACAGAAUUAAAUUCAUGCAAAUUUUGUAAAAGAGUAAACCAAUUUGAAUUUGAUUAAGAUUGUGGUUUCGUUUCUGGACUGAUGCAUGCCAUGUAUAACUGCCUGUCUAUCACUUUGCAGAUUCUAGCACAACAUAUCAAAGCUUUGCUACCUGGGCUGAGAGCACAUAUAAGCACUAACCUAGUUACUGUCGCAAAGGAGCAUGCAAGCUAUGGAGAAAUCACCGAGUCCAAGGCAUGUAUUUAUACUGGGAUCUGUUAUGCAUAUGUCCCUAUGACUUGCUAACUAAUUAUUAAUUAAAUUUACUUUAUAAUCAUUCUCCUUAUUUAUCAAGUGUCAUAUUUUUUACUUUGGCGGACUUUUGCCUCAUUUUAUCUAUAACUUUUAAUGGUUAAUCCUCAACAGGCUGGUCAGGGUGCUCUUCUCUUGAAUAUUCUUUCAAAAUAUUGCGAAGGUACCUAUCCUUACAAUCUGGUUUCUUUUCUCUUACUCGGCUUUUCCAUUUGGAAACUCAUAUUUUCUUUUCUCUUUCAAAGUAUUAAUUGGUUUUCACAUAUUGUUACCUUUCCUAAUUUAGUAAAUUCCAUCUCCAUUUUCUUUCUGAAAACAGCAUUCUCCUCCAUGGUUGACGGAAAGAAUGAAGAGAUGUCUACAUCUGAGUUAUCUGGUGGGGCGCGAAUUCAUUAUAUUUUCCAAUCCAUCUUUGUCAGGAGUUUAGAGGUAUAUAAUGCUGUAUUUACUUGUGAUAUAUCAGCAUUGUUAGACUUUACCCACUCUUAUGUCAUGCUUAAUGUAGAGAUGGAAAAUGGCUACAAUAACUAACCCAUUAGACCAUUUGUAACUGAUUCUAAAACGUCAACCAGCCUAUUUUCUUUAUUAUACCAAGUGGAUGUCUAACCUACCAACUUUUAUUUGCUUGAUGAAAAAUACAAACAUCCCUUUAUUUAUAUUUCAGGGAUGGAAAUGAGUGAUUUCUUUUCAAAUAACUUUUUUAUAGAAGUUAUUGAAAGAGAAAAUUAAAUUGAUUCUCCAUAUUGCAUUGAUUGAUUUCUGAUGCAAAUGAUUAGAUAUUUAUACACAUCAGAGAGGGAAUUUUCUAGAAGUGUCAUAAUAUGUACUGCACUCACAGUAAAAUGACGAACCAUAACAGCAUGCUAAAAUAGGAAGAUCUAGAAUAGUUGGAGGUAGGAUCAGAUGAUUUUCAUAUCUGUAUAUCAUUAUUCUACCUUCGAGCAUGGGUUAGUGCUAACUUUAGUGAGAGCAUCUGUGAGCUGAUCAUGAGCAGGCAAGUACAUGACUUAUCUAAGACUUGGCUAACCUGUUCCGUGAUAAAAUAAAGAUCACGUUCCAUGUGCUUUGUUCCGGAAUGAAGCACUCUAUUGUGACUCAGAAACUGCACUCUGAUUAUAUCACACUAAAGAAUAGGAAUAUGGCACCCAAUUUCUAACUCAGAAAGCAGAGACGGGAUCCAUGAAUUCAACAGGUGAUGGCCAUGGUGUAAAAAAAGUAUCAGCACUAGGAGGGGCAACAUCGUUCUGUUUUCGGAACCAAGAAACCAAGUUAUGCCCAAAGAAAAUGCAAAAACCAGAAGUGGGCCGUAUGUUAAUGGUUAUCAACAUCAGAGCCCGAUCUGCUUCACAAAAAAACUUGCAAACUCAAAAGAGCAUUAAGCUGCGGCAAUGACCCAUGAUCAGAAACUUGCAAACUCAAAAGAGCAUUAAGCUGCAGCACUGACCCAUGAUCAGUGCUACCUUUGAGGUACCUCGAAUCCUUUCACCAGCUUGUCAGUGUUCAAAAGUAGGUUCAGCCAUAAAUUAAAAGACCUUGUUGACAUGAAAGAACAUGCAAAUUCUCUCUAAGGUCAGGAAUGCUCGGUGUAGUUCUUUGUUAAGAGUCCCACAUCGGAUAGGACAUGACCUGACAAUGUGUUUAUAAGUGGAGGCAAUCCUCACCUCACAAGCCGGUUUUGUGGGGUUGUUUUAGGCCCAACCACGAUUUCUAAGAUGGUAUCAGAGCCUCUCCAAGAUCCAUUGGGCCACCUGCUAUUAGGUUUCCGCUAUCGGACCACCCACCAUUUAUGUCCACGAACCAAGCCCAAUAGUGCUGGUCGUGAGGGGGUGUGUUAAGAGUCCCACAUCGGACAUGACAUGACCUGACAAUGUGUUUAUAAGUGGAGGCAAUCCUCACCUCACAAGCCGGUUUUGUGGGGUUGUUUUAGGCCCAACCACGAUUUCUAAGAUGAGCACUCUUUUGGCUUGGUGCGUGAAUAGGUUUAGGCGGCCCUUGAAUUCGACAAGCUUUGAUACCAUGUUGAAAUUAUCUCAGCCUUAUCAUAUGUUCUUGCUCCUCUUUGCACAGGCGAAAAUAUCUCAGCUAAAUCCAACCUUUGACCACCAUCUUGCUUUAUAUCAAUUAAUGAAAUAAUUAGUUAAUAGAGCAAUCUGGGUUGUCCUUGACCUUGAAGACCCACCUGCGAUCUGUAGCAGUCGGGAUAGGAUGAAAUCAACCAAGGACCAACAUUUCAUUUUUAAUGUUAUUUUAUGAAGGAAAAACAACAACUUAGAUUAAUAUCAAAGGUAUUUUAAUGGAAAAGGAAAACAAUACUGUUAUAAGUUUAUAAUGUACUGGAAUUUUUGGCCAUAGGCAAAAUGAGUAUUUAAUGUUAUACAGAGUAGGAGUUGUGUUGCUUCUGAUUUAGCUACUUUGAGACUUAUGUAACUUGGCACUAUCUUGAAGGAGGUAGAUCCAUGUGAAGGCUUGACUGAUGAUGAUAUUCGUACUGCCAUACAAAAUGCAACUGGGCCAAGAUCAGCAUUGUUUGUACCUGAAGUGAGUCUCAUCACUUGUUUUUAAACAGAAAUUAACAUUUUGAAAAUUUCUCAUUUAAUUCCCACUCUUGAACAUGUAGAAAUAAUUCCUACUCUUGAACAUAUCUCUCUAUUUGCAACAGGUACCAUUUGAAGUCCUCGUGCGAAGGCAAAUAUCUCGUUUAUUGGAUCCAAGUCUUCAGUGUGCCAGGUUUAUAUAUGAUGAAUUAAUAAAGGUAGGGGGGCAGGGCUUUAUGGUUUGUCAUUUAUACCGUCUCAUCUCACCAAGUAUGCUCCUGAAUAAAUUUCCUUAUCUACAGAUGAGCCAUCGCUGUAUGGUGACUGAACUGCAGCGAUUCCCUUUCUUACGGAAACGUAUGGAUGAAGUUAUAGGGAACUUUUUACGGGAAGGCCUUGAACCAUCAGAGAACAUGAUUGCACAUAUCAUGGAAAUGGAGGUAUGCUCAUAAAUUGUUUGAACCUUUGAGGUGUAUGCUUAUAAUUGGUCCUAUUAGGUUUUUCAUUAGACCUAACUUAUCCUCACCAAAUCGACGGUAAGGCGAGACGUUACACUUCUUAUAAACUCAUGUCAGGCCUUAUCUCUAUUUAUUGUUAUGUGAGACUUGAGUUUUUCCCCCUCACCCCCCACACUACUGGAAAUUCAUACAUAUAGCAUUAAUUAUUUUAUAUAUAACAAUAAUUAUAAUUCAAAUAGAGGCCACUGUGGCUUGUGAUUUUUCCAAAUAGGUCCUUCUUCUAGCUACCUAAUACUACAAUCAUCACGUUAAUAAUAGUUUAUCAUAACUCAAUUAGGUUAUGGGGCCAAAACAUGCUAGCACUUGACAAAUCCUACAGAAAUUGUGGUGUAAGUUAUAACUGAAAUGAUUGUUUGGAACUAAAAGUCUUUUAUCGAUAUUACUUUCAACUAUAAUCAAUUAUGCAGUCUCAACCUUUCUUAUUUUAACAGAUCCUAGUUCCUCCAUUUCCUUAAACAUGAUCUCGCAUAACAAAAUGAAAUAAUUAUUGGCAAAGGAGGUAGUUGUGAACUGAUAUCUGUUGGUGGGUAUGCCAAUUUUUCAUUUCUUUGAAGUUAUCUCCUUUUUUUUUUUGGUGGUGAGAAUUUAUCUCCCUUUUAACUGAUGCAUAUUGGUUUUCAGAAUUUUUAACAAACCUGAAAUAUUUUUUACUUCAUUAUAUGACUGUUUGUUUUGGCAUUCUACCACUCUCCAACUGGCCAUUUGGUCAAAGGUUUUAUUUAUUUUGUAAAGCGUAUUUGUAAGUGCAUUGUUGUAAUUUUUUUUAAAACAGACAGGUUGUAUUUAGUUGGUUGAACAUUGCUUCGGUUGCUAUUCUGAAACUUAGAACAUGAGUGUUUAGUAUUCUCUCGACAUAAAAUGGAAAAACCGUCAAAUGUCAGUUGUGAUGGUCAGUUUAUUAGAUUGAAUCUUCAUUUCCAUCUCCAUAAUUUCUUAUUUAAAGUUUGAACAACUCAAUUUUGCAGAUGGACUACAUAAAUACUUCCCACCCAAAUUUUAUUGGUGGAAGUAAGGCAUUAGAAAUUGCAGUGCAACAGACCAAAUCUUCUAGGGCUGCCUUAUCACUUUCUAGGCCAAAGGUAUAGCUGGGCUCUAAUUCUAAAUAUGCCCUAUGUUUUGAGAUAUUAAAACUAAUCCGUGUUUUCUUUUCUUACGUUUUUGACUUUUAAAUUGAUCUCAAAUAGGAUGCUCUGGAAUCUGAAAAGGGAUCUGCCUCUGAAAGAACUGUGAAGUCUCGGGCUAUUCUUGCAAGACAGGCUAAUGGAGUAGUUGUUGAUCCGGUUUGUAAUCAUUUCUAUUAAGAUGUAUUCAUUUAUCUUUAUUUGUGGGAGUCAAAGUGGCACCAAAUUUUUAUGUUAUUCUUAUCUCUUCUAUUAUGGUAUUAAUAAAAAACAGGCUGUGCGUGCUGUAUCAGACGCUGAAAAAAUUGCAUCCUCUGGUAAUUUGUUUCUUCUAUUUAAUGUUUCACUUCAUUGCAUUUGUUUUUAGCAUUUGCUCGCUAUUGCUCUUAUUUUUUUGGUUGUCUAACCUUCAAUCAAAGUGAUUUUUACGUAUCAGCAAAUAUCAUUAUCGUUUUAUUAAGAUAUCGACAAUUUUGAAUGAUUGAUGUUGUUUUAGGAAACAUUGGUGGAUCAAGUUGGGGCAUCUCAUCCAUUUUUGGUGGAGGUGAUAAGUCUGCGAGGGAGAAUGUAGCUAGUAAGCAACAUGCUGAACCAUUUCAUAGUGUGGAAGUGGAACAAUCAUUCUCUAUGAUCCAUUUGACAGAGGUUUAUAUCUUGCUACACAUUUAUCAUCAUAUUUAUUGUUAUGUUUCACAGGUAUACGUUUUCAUAUACACAUUAUUUUUGUAGCCACCUACUAUCUUGAGGCCAUCUGAUAGUAAUUCAGAGACGGAAGCUGUCGAAAUUACGGUAACAAAGCUGCUUUUGAAAUCAUAUUACGACAUUGUCAGGAAAAACGUUGAAGAUUUUGUCCCCAAAGCAAUUAUGCACUUCUUGGUACUAAUAUUCUUCUUUUAAGUCUUCCAAAAUUACAAAUUAUUACAAUUAUAGAUCUAAAGUAAUUCGUAUCAUGCUGUAAUUUCCAUUGUUCUAUUUUGAUACAGCAUUCAGGAAAAUAUAUUCUUAUUUUUUGUAUUUCUUGAGAAAUGCUUGUGUCUUCACAAGUUGUGAAGACCAGACCAAUCAAUAACUAACAAGUUGUCAAGUAAAUAUGAAAUAGUUAUGCUCAUUCCCUAAAUCCCCCGUGCCCUGUCAUUGACGGUUUAGAAUUGCUUUUUGCGGCAGACGGGUGACAGGGUGUUAGUGCUUUUAUUAAAUUUGAAGAUAUAUUUUACUAUAUGCUUUGUGCUAUUUAUUUUGAAAUGGUUGACAAUUCUUGAAUUUUCACGCAUUCCAUAAAUCCUUACCAUUGUCUUUUACUGAUUCGUAUCAGGUAAACAACACCAAGAGAGAGCUACACAAUGUCUUCAUUAAAAAGUUAUAUAGGUAAAAUAUAGUAGUUAUGGCUUGUUAAUUCUAUGUGAUAUAUAUAUAUCAAGUUUCUCCAAUGUUUCUUGCUGAUUGUACUUUUUAUGAUAUAUACUCAAACCAGAGAUAACCUGUUUGAAGAGAUGUUGCAAGAACCUGAUGAGAUAGCCUCGAAAAGAAAGCGUUGUAGAGAACUUCUUCGAGCUUAUCAGCAAGCAUUUAAGGUGAAUAGUCAUAAUACUUCACUGAAAACGUCUUAUCUAAAGUUCUGUUAUUUUACGUGGUGUCUGGUUAUUCCGUGUUUAAGUUGUUUGGUCUGACAUUGUGGAAAUGUGUGGUCUUUGGUGCUCAUGAUCUCCGUGUUCUGUUACCUGUGUAUUUAAUAUGUAUGCAUUCAACCUAUAUUAAUGGUAAUUGAUUAGUUUAGUAUUCACGGUCUAUUUGUUCUGAUGUAUGUAUAUGUAUGUAUGUAAAUGUAGGCUUUCGUUAUAUUUGGUUCUCAUGUGGUGCACUUACCUAUGUUUCUGGUAAUUAGUCUGUUUGUCUGUGUAUGGGUUUCUGUUCAAAACAUUGGCUUUCUACAAGUCAUACGUCAAUGUGAUGGAUUGGGACAUAGUGUGUCACUUAUUUGGUAUAUGCAUGCUUGUGACUUGUCAACAACUCGGUGUUAUUGAGUCAAAUUCUUCUCGCUACUACUUCCAAAUGUAUAUAAUUGAAGAUUUAUUUAUUUUUGUUAGCUUUUUUACUUAAAAGUUGGUGGUAGGAUGACUGUAUUUUAUCGUUGUAGGACUUGGAGGAGCUGCCUAUGGAAGCGGAAACACUUGAAAGAGGAUACAGUUUACCUGAAACAACUGGUCUGCCUAAAAUUCACGGACUACCAACGUCAUCAAUGUAUUCAACAAAUAGUUCUGGAGAUUAUUAUGGAGCUUCUCCUAAGCACCCCAAGUCAAAAAGGUCUUCUCAUUCUGGGGAACUUCAAUCUCCAUUUUAUGCUAAUGCAGAUUCCAAUGGAAAUGGAAAACAAUCUGCAUCAGGCUUUUAUCCCACGCUUGAUACAUAAGCUAUAGCUAAACAAGUUUGUUGGUCCAAGUAGUUUAAUUCAAGGCAUGUUAUUCAUUUGAUUAAGUUCUGCCUUCCGGAGCUGGAAUGCAUGAACCUAAUGUUUUCUAACUAAGACGGUCUUGUAUGUCGGUCAAGGCUUUCUUAACCUAAGUUCACCUUUUGCUCUCAUAUAGCAUCGACAUUACUUACAAAGCUCCUGAAAGAAUAAUAGGAACAGGUGACCUUUCACAUUUUUGAGAAUCGGCUUUCUGUAUAUGACCUUUUUUUUCUUUGUUAUUAUUAGUUAGGAAUUGUCUUGGCAAUUAUGCACCUCCAAAGUUUGUUUGCAGUAGAUGUAGGACGUUAUUUGCUAUGUGAAAUGGCUUGACAUUGAUUUUUAAUAUAAAGAUGAGUCGUUGAUUGUUUGUUAUUGCAAUGUAAUGAAGUAAUUCGUUAACAUUGUUGUUUUGAUCUUUGCAAUGAUUGAGGUUGGUUUUUUUUCUUUUCAUUCUUACAAACGAGUUCUAUAGAAACAAAUCAUUUUUUUAAAAUAACAGAGAUUCAUUAGCCAAAACAAAUUUAUAGAUACACUAAAAGCAAAUGUUUUCUAAAAUUUGCCGAGGCUUGUGAAAAAAAAAUCAACCCGAAUAAAAUAUUUUUCAUAUUUUAUAAAAAUUCACUGAAUAUUGUAAAAAGAAAAUCACUGGAAAAAUGAAAUAUAAGUUUAAUUAUUUCCCCAUUUUAAAAAUUAAUUUUUGGUCCCCAUUUUCUUCACUACUUUUGGAAUUUUCAACUAAACUGGAAAAAAUAUGAAUUUUUGGUCCACGAAUUGAAAAUGAAUUUCCCCUCCUUAAAAAAAAAAAUGAAUUUCCCUGAUUUCAUAUUUUAAAGGAAAUAAAAAAUAGGGUUAAAUAUGUUUUUGGUCCCUAUAUUUUACCCUCUUUUAAAGAAUAAUCCCUACAUUUUAAUAAAUGUUUUUAAAAUCCCUACAUUUUAUCUCCGUUACCAUGUUUAGUCCCUACGGUCAAGUUUUUCACAGUGAGCUAACGGAAUGGUGAUGUUUCAAUAUUUUUUAUUUUUUAUUUUACUUUUUUUUUUUUUGACAAGUUUUCUUUUUACUUCUUAAAUGGGUUAGAUUGAAAAAUAUAGGUGAAAUACAAACCUUAUCCAUAUAUCAAAUCCUAAAUCCCCAAAUUCUGAAAUCAAUUUCCUUCUUUCUCGCGAAUCCCUUCAUCCCAUGACUUCUUUAUUGGAUUUUUAAAUUGUUGUUAACGAGGAAGAUGAGGAAGCCGGUGAUUUUUGAAUGAACCCUUACAAACUCAAUUGAGUGAAAUUGGAGAUGGAGUAUUAACUAUUAUGUGGGUUUUUUGUUCUUUCAUGUUGGCUAUAGUUUCUAGUGCCUUGAUCAAAGAAGCCGAAUGCAGAAGAUAAAAGAAGAGAAAUCAAUGAUGAUGGAGAAGAAUCAGAGAGGAGGAAAAAGUAAUUUGGGGAUUUAAAUCCCUAAAUUGAAGAAACAGUGUUUGGAACGGAACUAGAGAAAGAGAAUUGAAGAAGUUUUGAAGACCUCCAUUACCAGAUUCAAUCCUCUUUUGAUUUCAACCAUAAACUCCACUACCAAUUUCACUCAAUUCAUCAUAAAUAAAGAAAGAAAUAUUACAGAAAAUUGAAACAAAAAUUAACAACAAAUACAAAAUAUGGUAAGGAAAAUCAUGUGGGUUUGGUUAUGACAUUAAAGCUUAUGUUUUUUAAUGGGUUUGUAUUGGGUGGCUCUGGAAAGGGGAUGAAGUUGGUUGGAAUUGGAGUAAUGAUAAGAACUCAUCCUGCAGAGGGAGAAGAAGAUGUGGUUGUGAUGCAUUCUGUUAGUUAAAUUGACGGUAGGGACUAAACAUGGUAACAGAGAUAAAAU
RNAcentral lists this long non-coding RNA (12803 nucleotides) under Medicago truncatula (barrel medic). RNAcentral's name for it is "long non-coding RNA (MTRU_LNC007975)". The record is from RNAcentral. Lineage: Eukaryota; Viridiplantae; Streptophyta; Magnoliopsida; Fabales; Fabaceae.